GACGAACGCUGGCGGCGUGCCUAAUACAUGCAAGUCGAACGCGGUUACGGACGGGUGAGUAACGCGUAUGUAACUGCCUCAUAGCGUAGGAUCACUAUUCGGAACGAUAUCUAAUACCGCAUACUGUGAGAUGGAUCUGCGUUGUAUUAGUUAGGUGGUGAGGUAAAGGCCCACCAAGGCGACGAUACAUAGGCGACCUGAGAGGGUGAUCGGGCACACGGGGACCGAGACACCGGCCAGACUCCUUCGGGGAGCAGCAAGAGGGAAACAUCGGCAAUUGACGGAAGUCUGACCGAGGAAAGGCGGGGUAUGGAAGAAGGUUUUCGGAUCGGAAAGCUCUGUUGUGAGAGAAGCGGUAACUAACGAGAAAGCGCCGGCUAACUACGUGCCAGCAGCCGCGGUAAUUC
This 407-nucleotide ribosomal RNA is filed under the name uncultured bacterium. Its description in RNAcentral is "partial 16S ribosomal RNA". It matches the Rfam family "Bacterial small subunit ribosomal RNA", at positions 28 to 526 of the family's 1533-position model. The record is from RNAcentral.